UAGAUGUUCUGGGCCGCACGC
Molecule: non-coding RNA, 21 nt
Filed under: Arabidopsis thaliana (thale cress)
Lineage: Eukaryota; Viridiplantae; Streptophyta; Magnoliopsida; Brassicales; Brassicaceae
Source: RNAcentral